GCAAAAGUAGUCGUAUUCAUAGCGGUUUGGAGCUUCUUGAAAAAGGCAAGGAUUUUAAGGUUGGUACUCUUCGGUCUUCAUCUUCACCACGGACAUGCCUCGCUAGAUUAUCUUCAAACAAUAGUUUGGUUCUUUUCUCCCUUUCUCUGUUUUUCGUUUUCAGUAUUAGCUGCUAAUGAGCAAGGAUUCGAUCAAAAUUCUCAGAAAAUCAACAAUCUUUUCAUCUAAUGGACGCAUUAAGAAUUUUAUACCUCAAGCAUC
This 261-nucleotide unclassified non-coding RNA is filed under the name Hevea brasiliensis (rubber tree). Lineage: Eukaryota; Viridiplantae; Streptophyta; Magnoliopsida; Malpighiales; Euphorbiaceae. The record is from RNAcentral.